UCAUGAUCUCUACUAGAUCCAGUGUAGUCAGUCUUUUCUUUAGUUUUUUUAUCUAGGAUCUAUCUAGUAGGGCAUGUAAUGCAAUGUUGACUGUUUGACUCUUGGAUAGUUUCUAUCUAUGUCUUUUGUACUCUAAGUCAACACUUAUGUAUUAAAACAUCUUUGUACUCAAAGAUCUUUUAAAUAUAUAUAUACACUUUGACUUUCAAUGAAUAUCUCUGAAUGUGAUCAACUUGAAUUACUUUUAAAUUAUGAAAUACUUG
This 263-nucleotide long non-coding RNA is filed under the name Elaeis guineensis (African oil palm). RNAcentral describes it as "long non-coding RNA (EGUI_LNC064268)". The record is from RNAcentral. Lineage: Eukaryota; Viridiplantae; Streptophyta; Magnoliopsida; Arecales; Arecaceae.